This 699-nucleotide ribosomal RNA is filed under the name uncultured Alteromonas sp. RNAcentral's name for it is "bacterial SSU rRNA". It matches the Rfam family "Bacterial small subunit ribosomal RNA", at positions 92 to 793 of the family's 1533-position model. Lineage: Bacteria; Pseudomonadati; Pseudomonadota; Gammaproteobacteria; Alteromonadales; Alteromonadaceae. The record is from RNAcentral.
CGAGUGGCGGACGGGUGAGUAAUGCUUGGGAACUUGCCUUUGCGAGGGGGAUAACAGUUGGAAACGACUGCUAAUACCGCAUAAUGUCUUCGGACCAAACGGGGCUCAGGCUCCGGCGCAAAGAGAGGCCCAAGUGAGAUUAGCUAGUUGGUAGGGUAACGGCUUACCAAGGCAACGAUCUCUAGCUGUUCUGAGAGGAAGAUCAGCCACACUGGGACUGAGACGCGGCCCAGACUCCUACGGGAGGCAGCAGUGGGGAAUAUUGCACAAUGGGGGAAACCCUGAUGCAGCCAUGCCGCGUGUGUGAAGAAGGCCUUCGGGUUGUAAAGCACUUUCAGUUGUGAGGAAAGGUUGGUAGCUAAUACCUGCCAGCUGUGACGUUAACAACAGAAGAAGCACCGGCUAACUCCGUGCCAGCAGCCGCGGUAAUACGGAGGGUGCGAGCGUUAAUCGGAAUUACUGGGCGUAAAGCGCACGCAGGCGGUUUGUUAAGCUAGAUGUGAAAGCCCCGGGCUCAACCUGGGAUGGUCAUUUAGAACUGGCAGACUAGAGUCUUGGAGAGGGGAGUGGAAUUCCAGGUGUAGCGGUGAAAUGCGUAGAUAUCUGGAGGAACAUCAGUGGCGAAGGCGACUCCCUGGCCAAAGACUGACGCUCAUGUGCGAAAGUGUGGGUAGCGAACAGGAUUAGAUACCCUGGUAG